CUCAUUCGCCAGGUCCGGUCGAAGGCUUAGGGUUUUGGAUCGAACUCAACGAAGCCUGUCGAGAGAGGAGGAAAGCUCCAUCGAUCGGAGUUCUCGUUCUCGAUCCCUUUGUUCCCAUCCUCGAUCUCAUGCGGAUCUGACCUCCAAUAUCCAGAUCGAGAGCGAUGGCGAUCGGUGGUCUCGUUCUCGGCUUUCUUUUCGCUCUCUUUGCCUCACCAGCUGCCGCGGAUGCGAUCCAUGGCUGUGGUGGAUUCAUCGAGGCGAGCUCGCCAUUGGUUAAAUCAAGAAAAUCUUCGGAUGCAAAGUUGGAUUAUUCACACAUAAGGGUUGAACUGUGCACGGUUGAUGGGUUGGUCAAGGAGCGGACACAAUGUGCUCCCAAUGGUUAUUAUUUUAUCCCAGUUUAUGACAAGGGUUCAUUUGUUCUCCGAGUAAAGGGGCCUGAUGGAUGGUCAUGGAAACCUGAUAAUGUCAAUGUUAUUGUUGACCAAGAUGGCUGUAAUGCAAAUGCAGAUAUCAAUUUCCUUCUCACAGGGUUCACGCUAUCAGGAAGGCUCAUUGGUGCUGUUGGUGGUGAAAGCUGUCCCAUAAAAGAUGGAGGACCUUCUGGUGUAAAAGUUGAGCUAUUGUCAAUAUCGGAUGACCUUAUUGCAUCUUCUUUGACAUCGGCAAUAGGAGGUUAUUCAUUCACAAACAUCAUUCCAGGAAAUUACAGAUUACACGUGACACAUCCAAAUUUAGAAGUUGAAGUUAGAGGCUCACCAGAGGUGAAUAUAGGCUUUGGAAAUGCUGUGGUGGAUGAUGUCUUCUUUGUUCGUGGAUAUGAUCUUCAAGGUUUUGUGGUUGCACAGGGAAAUCCAAUUGUGGGUGUUCACAUGUAUUUAUAUUCAGAUGAUGUCUUAGAGGUGCAUUGUCCGGAAGGCGCUGGGAAUGGACCUAGGCAUAAGAGUGCUCUUUGCCAUGCUGUGUCUGAUGAAGAAGGGAGAUUUCUGUUUAAAUCUUUACCUUGUGGGGUUUAUGAACUUUUGCCUUACUAUAAAGGAGAGAAUACAAUUUUUGACGUCUCACCCUCUUCAGCGAUUGUGUCUAUUGAGCAUUAUCAUAAACAGCUGCCCCAAAAAUUUCAGGUUACUGGGUUUUCUAUUGGUGGUCGUGUGAUCGAUGACUUUGGUGCUGGAGUAGAUAGUGCUAAAAUUUUGGUAGAUGGCCAGCUGAAGACAAUUACUGAUGCUCAGGGAUAUUACAAGCUUGAUCAGGUUACGUCUAAACAUUACUCGAUCGCUGUGCUGAAGGACCAUUAUAAAUUUAAUAGACUCGAGAAUUAUUUGGUUUUGCCAAAUAUGGCUAAGAUUGAGGACAUAAAAGCAUAUUACUAUGAUAUCUGUGGAGUUGUUCGAACAAUUUCUCCAGAUUCGAAGGCAAUGGUGACACUAUCACAUGGGCCAGAGAAUGUCAAGCCACAACGGAAACUAAUAGAUGAAAAUGGAAGUUUUUGUUUUGAGGUUCCACCAGGUGAAUAUCGAUUAUCUGCCCUGGCUGUAGAUUCUGAGAAUUCAGGCCUCUUGUUUUCACCAUCAUAUGUUGAUGUAAAGGUCAACAGUCCUUUACUUAAUGUAGAAUUUUUUCAGACACAGGUCAAUGUUCAUGGAAAUGUAUUUUGCAAGGAGAAAUGCAGCCCUAAUCUAUCUGUAUCACUUGUUAGGGUAAUUGGUGAAAGUGUGCAGGAAAGAAAAACCAUUGCUUUGACACAUGAGAGUUGUGAAUUCACUUUUAUGAAAGUUUUUCCUGGAAAGUACCGACUUGAGGUGAAGCAUAUCUCUUCCUUGGCAAUGCCUGAGGAGGAUACAUGGUGUUGGAAUGAGAAUUUUAUUGAUCUAGAUGUGGGUACCCAAGACAUGACAGGAAUUGUCUUUGUCCAAAGAGGUUAUUGGAUUAACUUAAUAUCCUCACAUGAUACUGAUGCCUACAUACUCCUACCUGAUUCAUCUCGUCUUGAUAUUACAAUUAAGAAAGGGCCACAAAAGAUUUGCAUUGAGACUCCUGGCGAGCAUGAGCUGCAUUUUGUCAAUUCAUGCAUUUCAUUUGGGAGCUCAUCGUUGAAAUUUAACUCUUUGGAUCCAACGCCCAUAUAUCUUACUGGAAAGAAGUACCUUCUUAAAGGAGAAAUUCACAUCGAUUCUGACUUGGUCCGAGAUGCGGUUGACUUAUCUGAGCACAUUGUUCUGGAUGUAUUUGAUAGAGAUGGAACUUCUGAUACUGUCUCUACUAGAUUUUCGUCUGAUAAGAGCGGCCAAAGGAACAUUGCUGUGUAUGAAUAUUCCAUCUGGUCUGACCUUGGAGAGGAUCUUAUCUUUUCUCCUCGAGAUACCAGUACUGGACAGGAGAAGAAGAUACUUUUUUAUCCAAGGCAGAGGCAGGUAUCAGUUUCUGUUGAUGGAUGUCAAGCUUCUAUUCCUCCGAUUAGUGGUCGAGUUGGGUUGUAUAUCGAAGGAUCAGUAUCUCCUGCUCUAGAUGGUGUUAAUAUAAGAAUCACUGCCAUGGGGAGCAGCAGUUAUGUCUCUUUGCAGAAAGGGGAUUUAGCUUUUGAAACUGAGACUGGAAUAUAUGGUUCUUUUACUGCUGGGCCCUUGUAUGAUGAUAUAAGUUACAAAGUUGAAGCUUCAAAGCCAGGUUAUCAUCUUAAACAAGUUGGACCUAGUUCUUUUACGUGUGAACAGCUUAGUCAGAUUGUAGUGCACAUACAUGACGAAAAGGAGAAUGGAGAACUAUUCCCUUCUGUUUUAUUAUCAUUGAGUGGUGAAGAUGGUUACAGGAACAACUCGAUCAGCAGUGCUGGUGGAACAUUCACCUUUGUCGAUUUAUUUCCUGGAAGUUUCUAUCUCCGCCCAUUGCUAAAGGAAUAUUCCUUCUCUCCUGCAGCUGUGGCAAUUGAACUAGAAUCUGGAGAGUCUAAAGUGGUUAAAUUUCUUGCAACACGUGUUGCUUACAGUGCUAUGGGCAGUGUAUCAUUACUCUCAGGUCAACCAAAGGAAGGUGUUUAUGUCGAAGCACGAUCAGAAAGCAAAGGCUAUUACGAGGAAGCAGCAACUGAUAAUAUGGGGAAUUUCCGGUUAAGGGGUCUUCUGCCUGACACUACAUAUAUGGUCAAAAUAGUAGCAAAGGACUACCUUGGAGUCAAAACACUUGAACGGGCUUCACCUGAAUCUAUUGCUGUUAUGGUUGGAAGUGAGGACGUAAGAGGUUUGGAUUUUGUGGUGUUUGAACAACCAGAUAUAGCAAUUUUAAGUGGCCAUGUGGAAGGAAAUGACAUUGAAGAUCUACAGCCACAUCUUUCUGUUGAGAUCAGAUUAGCGAGUGACCCAUCUAAGGUUGAGUCAGUCUUUCCUUUGCCACUCUCGUUCUACUUCGAAGUGCGUGAUUUGCCCAUGGGCAAGCACCUAGUGCAGCUCCGGUCUCGAUUCCCAUCAAGUUCUCACAGAUUUCAAUCCGAAAUACUGGAAGUUGACUUGGAAAAACAACCUCAAAUUCAUGCUGGCCCUCUCAGAUAUAAUGUCAAAGAAGAAAAUCACAAACAGGAACCAACUCCAGCUCCGGUGUUUCCUCUGAUUGUCGGAGUGUCUGUUAUUGCUCUCUUUAUCAGCAUACCAAGGUUGAAGGAUUUAUACCAGUUAGCAGUGGGGAUGGUUUCUUUGGGAUCAAGCACAGUAUCCACUAAAAAGGAACCACGGAAGCAAGUUUUGAAAAGGAGGCUUCAUUAGAAAGAACUGGAUUAUUUUUCCUUUUGUACCAAUCAUUUUGGACCCUCUGCUUGAUCGUUAGCUGAUUAGAGUUAUAAUUUUUAAUCAAACGUGCAAUAAUUUCUGUAGCAGCAAUUGCCUAGAACAUGUUCCUAAAUAGUUGGAUCAGCAGGAUGGGCGAAAGAUUGACCUUUUUUGGUGUUACCAUAUUGUGUUUUCUAUAUAUAUCCAUCGAGUAUGUGCUUGUAUGAUAUUUUACUUAAAAUGAGGUUUGCCACUGGUAUUUACAAAUGACUGCUGCUACUGGUGUAUACUAAACCCCCAAUAGCUGGUGCUUCUGCCCACCGGUAAUCAAUAAACAUCACUUCCCUUGUCAGUCACUGUCGAUCCUAUUUGGAUAGGGAGGGGUAUGGUAGUGAAGUUUUCUUUUUUAUUUCUUGGUUUUGGGUUGUACUUUAGAAUGAUUAUUUUCUGGAUACUCGGAAAAGAAAACAAUCUUGCUGUUUGGGUUUUCAA
Molecule: RNA transcript, 4253 nt
Organism: Musa acuminata AAA Group (dessert banana)
Lineage: Eukaryota; Viridiplantae; Streptophyta; Magnoliopsida; Zingiberales; Musaceae
Exons: 29
Source: RefSeq, a predicted model, not a curated record